UACGGAGGGUGCAAGCGUUAUCCGGAUUCACUGGGUUUAAAGGGUGCGUAGGCGGAUAGGUAAGUCCGUGGUGAAAUCCUGCGGCUUAACUGCAGAACUGCCAUGGAUACUAUCUAUCUUGAAUGUCGUGGAGGUUAGCGGAAUAUGUCAUGUAGCGGUGAAAUGCUUAGAGAUGACAUAGAACACCCAUUGCGAAGGCAGCUAACUACGCGAUAAUUGACGCUGAUGCACGAAAGCGUGGGGAUCAAACAGG
Molecule: ribosomal RNA, 253 nt
Filed under: uncultured bacterium
Lineage: Bacteria
Description: partial 16S ribosomal RNA
Rfam family: Bacterial small subunit ribosomal RNA
Source: RNAcentral